GAUCACCUAGUCCAUGUAAGGGUGUAAUGUUGAGCAUUCCUAAAGGAAUCUGUUAAGGAACUUGAUAUAUCUGGGCACCCAAGUGUGUGGCCACGAGGUCUCAGAGACAUUGGGAUUUGCCUCAAAGGUUCCGUUUUCCAAAAGUGGGAAUACCCUAUAUAACUCAUGAAUAGUGACAAUAAGCACCUCCCCCCACAGAAAGAGAGAGAGAAACAGUUGUUUGCUACUUGUCAAUCAGACGAUUGAGCAUGCUUGCCCCC
RNAcentral lists this long non-coding RNA (260 nucleotides) under Solanum tuberosum (potato). Its description in RNAcentral is "long non-coding RNA (STUB_LNC004176)". Lineage: Eukaryota; Viridiplantae; Streptophyta; Magnoliopsida; Solanales; Solanaceae. The record is from RNAcentral.